GGGGGCUGGAGGUUCGGUGCCGAGGGCGGGCUAGGAAACCUGUGCAGGUCCCCGGGGAGCCUGGGAGGGAAACCGAAGACUCUCCUUCGGGGCCACAGCCUCACCUCGAGCUCUUGGAGCUUGUUUGGCGAGGGUUUAGCCACCUGCCCCCCGCUCCACGGUGUCCGUAGGAUUCUAUGCAUGACUGUGGAACAAGACCACACCCACUGGUCGGACACUGGAUCAACGCAUCUACACCAGUGUGGACAACCCUGGUCACUCUUUCAUCAAGACUUUGGGCAUGGUGGCUGGAAAUGAGACCUGUGAGAUGUUUGCUGACCUGUUUGACCCUGUGAUCCAAGAGUAACAUGAUGGAUAUGACCCC
This 364-nucleotide long non-coding RNA is filed under the name Heterocephalus glaber (naked mole-rat). RNAcentral describes it as "lncRNA (ENSHGLG00100050422.1)". Lineage: Eukaryota; Metazoa; Chordata; Mammalia; Rodentia; Bathyergidae. The record is from RNAcentral.